UACGUAGGGUGCGAGCGUUGUCCGGAAUUAUUGGGCGUAAAGAGCUCGUAGGCGGUGUGUCACGUCGGCCGUGAAAACCUGCAGCUUAACUGUGGGCGUGCGGUCGAUACGGGCAUCACUGGAGUUCGGCAGGGGAGACUGGAAUUCCUGGUGUAGCGGUGAAAUGCGCAGAUAUCAGGAGGAACACCGGUGGCGAAGGCGGGUCUCUGGGCCGAUACUGACGCUGAUGCGCGAAAGCUAGGGGAGCGAACGGG
Molecule: ribosomal RNA, 254 nt
Filed under: uncultured bacterium
Lineage: Bacteria
Description: partial 16S ribosomal RNA
Rfam family: Bacterial small subunit ribosomal RNA
Source: RNAcentral